UGGGAAUUUUGGACAAUGGGCGAAAGCCUGAUCCAGCAAUGCCGCGUGUGUGAAGAAGGCCUUCGGGUUGUAAAGCACUUUUGUCCGGAAAGAAAUCCUUGGCUCUAAUACAGUCGGGGGAUGACGGUACCGGAAGAAUAAGCACCGGCUAACUACGUGCCAGCAGCCGCGGUAAUACGUAGGGUGCAAGCGUUAAUCGGAAUUACUGGGCGUAAAGCGUGCGCAGGCGGUUUGCUAAGACCGAUGUGAAAUCCCCGGGCUCAACCUGGGAACUGCAUUGGUGACUGGCAGGCUAGAGUAUGGCAGAGGGGGUAGAAUUCCACGUGUAGCAGUGAAAUGCGUAGAGAUGUGGAGGAAUACCGAUGGCGAAGGCAGCCCCUGGCCAAGUACUGACGCUCAUGCACGAAAGCGUGGGGAGCAAACAGGAUUAGAUACCCUGGUAGUCCACGCCCUAAACGAUGUCAACUAGUUGUUGGGGAUUCAUUUCCUUAGUAACGUAGCUAACGCGUGAAGUUGACCGCCUGGGGAGUACGGUCGCAAGAUUAAAACUCAAAGAAUUGACGGGGUCAUAGCUGUUUCCU
This 581-nucleotide ribosomal RNA is filed under the name uncultured bacterium. RNAcentral's name for it is "partial 16S ribosomal RNA". It matches the Rfam family "Bacterial small subunit ribosomal RNA", at positions 356 to 1375 of the family's 1533-position model. The record is from RNAcentral.